Molecule: ribosomal RNA, 500 nt
Filed under: uncultured bacterium
Lineage: Bacteria
Description: partial 16S ribosomal RNA
Rfam family: Bacterial small subunit ribosomal RNA
Source: RNAcentral
AUUGAACGCUGGCGGAAUGCUUUACACAUGCAAGUCGAACGGCAGCACGGACUUCGGUCUGGUGGCGAGUGGCGAACGGGUGAGUAAUGUAUCGGAACGUGCCCAGUCGUGGGGGAUAACGUAGUGAAAAUUACGCUAAUACCACAUACGAUCUAUGGAUGAAAGCGGGGGAUCGCAAGACCUCGCGCGAUUGGAGCGGCCGAUAUCAGAUUAGGUAGUUGGUGGGGUAAAGGCCCACCAAGCCAACGAUCUGUAGCUGGUCUGAGAGGACGACCAGCCACACUGGAACUGAGACAGGGUCCAGACUCCUACGGGAGGCAGCAGUGGGGAAUUUUGGACAAUGGGCGAAAGCCUGAUCCAGCCAUUCCGCGUGCAGGAUGAAGGCCCUCGGGUUGUAAACUGCUUUUGUACAGAACGAAAAGGUUUCUACUAAUACUAGGAGCUCAUGACGGUACUGUAAGAAUAAGCACCGGCUAACUACGUGCCAGCCGCCGCGGUAA